This 1067-nucleotide long non-coding RNA is filed under the name Vitis vinifera (wine grape). RNAcentral's name for it is "long non-coding RNA (VVIN_LNC005135)". The record is from RNAcentral. Lineage: Eukaryota; Viridiplantae; Streptophyta; Magnoliopsida; Vitales; Vitaceae.
AAUAUUAAAUUGUUUGCUUUUAUAGUAUUUUAUUUUUAUUAAGUAUUAAAAAAUAAAGAAAAAUUAAUAUGUUAUUUUUUCUAUUUAGAAAAAGCUAAAUAUUUUGAUUUUUUUCAUUUAAUAAAAAAAUUAUAAUAAGUUAUAAAAAAAUAGAAAAACAAACGACCUAAAUUCUAAAAAUAAAUUAUUUUCAAUAAAAAACAAAAAAAACAAACACCACCUUAAUUACACUAUAAUCUAAUUAGGAUCAAAGAUGAAUGGGGAAUUGGAAUAUAGUUCAUAUUUUCGUGUCUUAAUAUAAUGUUAUAUACAUGUCCCAAAUAUUUUAUUUUGAAUUCUUACUCAAGCCUAUUUAUAAAAAAACGAUAGGACAGAAUAAAAUGAAGCUUACAAAGCUGAAAGAGAUGUCAAGUUUACCAAAAGAAUCAAGUGUGAACAUCAUAUGGUUAAAGUUCGUUGGAAUACAAAAUUGUUGUAGUAAAGAGAAAGCCAGGAAAAACUGAAAAAAGAGAAAAGAAUAGAAAACGUGGAGUUUAAGAGAGAGAGAGGGAGGGAGGGAGGGAGAGAGAGGGAGGAAGGAGGGGUUACUCCCACAUGUGUGGAUGCAUUCAAUGAUGGAGUAAUGCAGAAGAUCGAUAGAGAGAGAAUCAUUGUUAGAGAAAGUUGAAGCCAUGGAUCAAAGAGACAAAGCAGAAAUGGUCCCCCCUUUCAUCUUCUUCUUCCUCCUCUGAGAAGAGAAAAGAAAUGGGGAAAUGGGGAAAUGGUCCCCCAUGAUGAAGGCUACGGAGAAGAAAGGAAUUGGUCGGAGGAGGGAGAUGGGUUUAUUUAAUUUUAUUUUUAUAUAAAUUAGAAUGGGGAAAUGGGUGUGUAUGUAUAUAUCUCUCUCGCUCUCUCUCUCUCUCUCCUUUUAUAUGUUUCAUUAAAAGGAACAAUGUGGUAUGUCUCACAGUUGCCCUCAACUCUGCCCCUGGUACGGGAUUAGGGCCUUGAAUUCCCAUCGCCACGUGUCAACUACCCAUUUCAGCUAGUACAAUCUCCCACUUCCUUCUUCAUCUUUCUCCCUGCUU